Molecule: ribosomal RNA, 464 nt
Filed under: uncultured bacterium
Lineage: Bacteria
Description: bacterial SSU rRNA
Rfam family: Bacterial small subunit ribosomal RNA
Source: RNAcentral
ACGAACGCUUGCGGCGUGCCUAAGAAAUGCAAGUCGAGCGAGGUUCAGGCUUCGGCCGAAAACCUAGCGGCGAACGGUCGCGUAACACGUAAGCAACCUGCCCUGAAGUGGGGGAUAGCCCUCCGAAAGGAGGAUUAAUACCGCAUGUGGACAGUGGAUCGCAUGUUUCACUGUCUAAAGCAGCAAUGCGCUUCAGGAUGGGCUUGCGGCCUAUCAGCUAGUUGGUGAGGUAACGGCCCACCAAGGCGACGACGGGUAGCUGGUCUGAGAGGACGAUCAGCCGGACUGGGACUGAGAUACGGCCCAGACUCCUACGGGGGGCAGCAAUUAGGAAUCUUGCGCAAUGGGCGAAAGCCUGACGCAGCGACGCCGCGUGACUGAUGAAGUCCUUCGGGAUGUAAAGGUCUUUUAUGGGGGAAGAAGGAUGUGACGGUACCCCAGGAAUAAGCCCCGGCUAACUACGU